This 85-nucleotide transfer RNA is filed under the name Clostridiaceae bacterium. RNAcentral describes it as "tRNA-Leu". It matches the Rfam family "tRNA". From Rfam's summary of the family: Transfer RNA (tRNA) molecules are approximately 80 nucleotides in length. Their secondary structure includes four short double-helical elements and three loops (D, anti-codon, and T loops). Further hydrogen bonds mediate the characteristic L-shaped molecular structure. tRNAs have two regions of fundamental functional importance: the anti-codon, which is responsible for specific mRNA codon recognition, and the 3' end, to which the tRNAs corresponding amino acid is attached (by aminoacyl-tRNA synthetases). tRNAs cope with the degeneracy of the genetic code in two manners: having more than one tRNA (with a specific anti-codon) for a particular amino acid; and 'wobble' base-pairing, i.e. permitting non-standard base-pairing at the 3rd anti-codon position. The record is from RNAcentral. Lineage: Bacteria; Bacillati; Bacillota; Clostridia; Eubacteriales; Clostridiaceae.
GCGGCCGUGGCGGAAUUGGCAGACGUGCACGCUUGAGGGGCGUGUGAUUAACAUCGUGCGGGUUCGACUCCCGCCGGCCGCACCA